CUGUACUGAACAUAUGCAGGACGAGGGAAACUGGGUCAAGGGCAGGGGGUCUGAAAGACACUACGUGUAUCGCAUGAUGUCCAAACCCUGUCCCCUUUUUUUCCAAGUAGUGAUUUUGGGAAACGUAGUGGUUAAACGCACACAGUGUUGCAUCCACCAUGGAUGAACCUGAUGAACUCUGCAGGGAAAGACCAGCCAGCUAACGUGUGGUGGGAGCAAAGAGCGAGAAGGAGCGAAGCCGAGCAGAAGUCACAGUCCGUGCAACGAGAGCUGCAGGAAACCGAUCGGAAAACAGCUGAAGUCAGGUCAUCUGGAGUUUACAGCUGAGUGUUUCUAUCUUCCAGUAAGAAAUAGUCUACAGCCACAGAGAGGGACGUCAGUAUUCAGAUCGGUUGGAUCUCAGCGGCAGAGGACUUGACCCUGGACAGCGGGACAGAUGGAGGGCAGCGGCUUUCGUUCACGCCACAGUGUGACAGGCAAACCGAGGCCUUCGCCCUCAGAGCAAAGCCAGACGGACUCUUUCCUGACCGCGGCCCGGCUGGCCCGUGAAGGACUGCUGGACGGCGAGAGGACGGGACGGCAGCUUUCAACACUUAGAUCCUCUCCAUCCAGCUCACAAGGAAAUCAUGCCGAGGUUUUCUUAAAGGAUCUCGCGGUCAGACGCCGCACGGUCGUCUUCAGCAGGAAGACGGAUACAGACAGAAAGACGGACAACGGGGAAGGGAAGAAGACCGAUCAAGGUGCUCGUCAAGCAAAGGACGAGCAGAGAGACAGAAAGAUGUGCUUUGUCACAGUGCACCUCGCCUCACAUGCAGACAACCUGUAAGGUUUAGAGUUGCCGUACUGCCCGUAAUAGCUGAGAUUUAGAUAAUCAGGCUUCCAGAUCAAAGCUAACCGAAGGCCGAUGUUUGGUUCUGUCUACCUGAUAUCAGCGCUCACACCAUCACGCCUGUUUAAGUCAAUGCAUGGUUAGACCAAAAGAAACUGGUAAAGACAAAGAGUUUAAGAUAUGAGGCACUUAAAAGAACUUAGAAGAACACAGGAGACCAGCCUAUUGUUAAAGUACAGCAUUACUUGAUAUCAGUAACAUAUUUACCUGGUUGUGUCCCAGAUAAAACAGACUGAUGGCAAAGACAAUUACUAAAAGUUUCAGGAAUCCCUCUAUAAGCGUUUUUUGUAUUAAAAGUGCAUAGACACGUUAUUUGACUUUUUUUUAUAUACGUCAGUAGCUCACUCUGGUUGCAUACAAAGAUUUUCUGAUAGAUUAUCACGUCCUUAUGGCAUGUCAGUUAUAUUUGUGUUUAAUGCUUUGUUUUUGCCCACUUUGUUCGUAAAUAAAGCCUUAUGUGUUUAUUUGUGACAACGAAGAUACGACACGGCGCACGUGCAGCACGGGAUAGACAAGGAAGCAUCUAACGGCUAUUAGCAUCUCACAGGGAAGUGUGGAAACAAUGAAGAAAGGUCCAAGAUCUGA
Molecule: long non-coding RNA, 1474 nt
Organism: Fundulus heteroclitus (mummichog)
Lineage: Eukaryota; Metazoa; Chordata; Actinopteri; Cyprinodontiformes; Fundulidae
Exons: 3
Source: RefSeq, a predicted model, not a curated record